RNAcentral lists this transfer RNA (71 nucleotides) under Camelus bactrianus (Bactrian camel). It matches the Rfam family "tRNA". Rfam says of the family: Transfer RNA (tRNA) molecules are approximately 80 nucleotides in length. Their secondary structure includes four short double-helical elements and three loops (D, anti-codon, and T loops). The record is from Rfam by way of RNAcentral. Lineage: Eukaryota; Metazoa; Chordata; Mammalia; Artiodactyla; Camelidae. RNAcentral also lists the same sequence under 3 other names.
GAGGGUAUAGCUCAGUAGUAGAGCACAUGCCUAGCAAGCACGUGGUCUGGGGUUUAAUCCCAGUACCUCCA